Molecule: long non-coding RNA, 5664 nt
Organism: Dermacentor albipictus
Lineage: Eukaryota; Metazoa; Arthropoda; Arachnida; Ixodida; Ixodidae
Source: RefSeq, a predicted model, not a curated record
UUUCAAGACGCGUGUUAAAUUCAUGGCUGUUUCAUUCGCAAACAUUACUUAAGUGACGUAAAAUUAUCAGUGAGCAAAACAGUUUUUAUUUCAACGCAAGGAAACAAAACCGAAACUAGCGCAACUGUUUUGCCCAGUUUUGCAGAUACAAAAUGAUCCAAAGCCGAAGCCGUCAAUAGCAUGACGCCAUUUUGAACUUGUGCUGCAUCAUGCGCGAGUACGUUGUCGUUGAGUGGUUCUGAAAUCGCUGCGUUAAGGGCGACUGCAACCAAGCGUUGUGGCAAGAUACAGUGGGAGCUUCUGUCCGUGCUGUGUGAUUGCGACGAGGGGACCACCGCCAGCAGCAGCGUAUCGCCGAUAAGCGCCCGAAGUGCUACGGUUUGCACUGCAUCUUUCAUUGUGAUAUGGGAGAUCGCAACGGACCGAGACGACCAGAUGCAUACGAACGACUACUAGCGGGGAGUGACCUGUGCCAUAUUUCUCUUAACGUCUCAGGUAUUCAAGAAAUGGCAACAGCCAGAAGUCACCAUCUUACCAGCACGUUACGGGUACACUCUGGCGGCUCCUACCCCUGUGUCCUCCCACCACCCUGUCCUGACUACGUCCACUAGGUAGUUGGGAGCCUUUGGCGGCUUCUGCCACUGCAUCCUGCCGCCACCAUGUCCCGACUAUGUCCACUAGGGAGUUGGCAGCCUUAGUGAUGAUGCCAGCAUGCUGACAGCCGACAGAAAGAUUCAGGUUGCCUCGAAAUUUUACCCAAGCCAUGCCGCACACUCAGGCCAGGCCUCUUGCGAACGAUGUAUAACCAGGCUCAACGCAUCAGGGUCGAGGGAGUCCGGAGAUCAAGGCAACCUGCUGUGCAACCAGCGUGCAACCUUUGGUGACCCCUCUACAUGCGCUACCUAUUUCACAGCUGUGCCUCACCUACCAUCUAUCCAAACAGCAUCACCGGCUGUGAUCACUUAUCGAACCAUGGAUGAAUGUUGGGGUGGAGUGAUUUGAACAGACAUUCUAUUUGUCUCUUCAAAUUCUUUGUAAAUAUUUCUGUUAUAAUUCAUAUGUGUCUUUAGUAUCUAGUUUUUAAUAGUUCCUUUCUCUUAGAAUUCUCACCAUCAGCCCCUGCUAUUCUAAUGUAUACCCGCCUUUAAGCCCCGUUUCUCGUAGUUCUUUCGUACUUGUGGAUGUAAUUGAUAGGUUAUUAAUUCUUGUUGUACGGAAGGCUAAAAUACGAACUUACGGCAUUUUUUCUUCCUUUCAUAAUCUACAGCACUGCAAUGUGUUCAAGAAAUGUAACAUAACACGGGCUCUGGUGCAGGAUAAAUUUAAGAGCAAUAUAGAGUACUUAUUUCAAGCACCCAUUAUUUUUUAAAAACUCAAGGAUAUAGGAGCACAAGAAAGAAACUAUUGAACUAGAGAAACAUUGGUUCCCCUCAUAAGUCUGGUAAUAAUGUGACUUCUUUCACUGCAAAGAUACUGGUACUCGCAUACAAGGUUUGAGACAUGAAAGCUAUGAUACCCUUGGCAUUUCUCAGUGCUUAUUUGCCACACUGACGAAUGUCCAAGGCAGCAUAGGUUUCAUGCACACAUUGGUUGUAUUACACCUUUUGAGUAUUGCAUUUCUCAAACACACGGGUUUGCAGCAGUGCUUUAAAUAGCAGAUGUAUUUCCUAAUUUUCAGAAUUUGUUAGUGCAAGAGUAACGCUACAGAUCAUGUAAAAAUAAUUUUACAGACUAUAUUUCCAUGGAUGCAUGUUUCUUCUGAUGACGUAGCAGUGCCAAGUGGUCGGGGGAUGAAUGUCUAUUUCAGAUUUAAAUAUUGGCUUCCAGGCCUGGGUUAGUCUCCUACACUGAGUAUUCUAGAUGAAAGCCCAGUUACUAGAGGAAACUGAAUAAAACUAGCAAUUAUAAACAUCAAAAGAUCUUGUUCGGGACACUAAUGUAACAAUCAGCAAGGUUCUUUGUGCAUUCAUUUCCAGAUUUGCGAGAUUAUAUUUUGACUGGUUUCAUUAAUUCGAGAACAAUUAUUUGUUUAUUCUCAUGCUAGAGUUGGCUGCCCCCAUUCGCAUACAACCCCUUUACAGGCUAAAAAUUAAGUGUAAUAAUAGGCUGUUUUUCGGUUUUGCGCCCUCAGUGUUAAGGGAUGCAAACGGUGACAUACAACAGAAUGCAGAAAAAUGUCCAAGGAAUGCAAGCCGGGCAUGGGACUUAUUAGACAGAUGCAUGCGUGUGCUAUUUAUAAAACUCCCUAUGGUAUGCCUCAAGGCGUUUUGUAACCCUUUGGUAGAAACACUGACACCCACUUAUUAAGGGCAAAUGCUCCCCGAAACAACUUUUUUAAUUUAUACUAGAAAUUUGAAUGUACUGCUAUUCAUAGGGAGUUUUAUGUAGAUUUGAAUUGUCAUUGGUUUUUGUGUAGCUGGUGUUUAGUUAUGUCCUACAUAGUGGCAAUAUAUUUUUAUGGGCACUUGUGUGUAAAAGUUUCGCGAAUGGUUUCAUGCUGUAUCUUAUUUAGCUAGGUGUAUACCGCAAAGUGGCGAUACCUAUCCAAACAGCUUGUACAAUUACUGGAAUUAUGCAAAAAAUAUGAGGCCACUUUAAAUAAUUUUUAGAUUGCAAUUUCAAUUAGAUACUGGUAUUCUGCUUAUCUUGAAGAGUAUGUAUGCCAAAUUUAAUUUGUAUAGGACAAUUAUAAAGCACGAGGUUAUUCUCAUGCUAUUGUGAGAAAAAAUUAUUGAAGUAUUCUCAAUAAUUUUAGUAGCAGGCCUGCCUGCCUGCCUACUAAUCUUGCAUACUUCUAGUAACUUUACGUGCUGUUUGAAUAGAUAUCGGCACCUGGCAGUCUACAGGGAGCUGAGUUAGCUGCAGCACACUGCUUUUUUGUGAAAAUUUAAUACACAAGAAAGUGCCCGCAAAUAUCACUAUGUAUUUUGCCGUUGUAUAGGACAUAACUCAAGAAGCAGCUAAACAAAAACUAAUGGAAUAUAUGAAAUCUGCAUGAAGAACUCUACAAUUGGCUCUCUUUUGAAACCUCUAGUACAAAUAAUAAAAAUAUUUCGAGUAAUAUUCAAUCAGCAAAACGUUCCCCUUGCUACAGUGACCUACAACAUAGCGACGCAAAGCUUAAGGCAAGUCCUCUUGUCGAAGCGAAUAUGGGCUGUCUUCCCAAGGGCUUCUGUUAAAGACGGUGAAUUUUCCUGCAUUUACCAGAAGUGCAAUACUAAAAUGUUUGUGAAUGUGCGAUUGGUAUUGGCACACUAACAGAAAAAAAGACAGUUCUGUGAAAUGUAGACUUGAGACGUGACUUUGUUGGACAUUUAAAUUUUGACUCCAUAUAUUUGUGUUUUGUACUGAGUGUUUCACCGGUGACUGCCACUAAUUAUUGAACAUAACUGCUUCAUGACAGUGCGACAAUUUUCACUAACAUAAAUUUUAGCUGUGGCAGGCAUUAGAAUCACAGUACUCAAUAACGUCUACUUUGUAAGAACUCAGAUUAGCACCAGUUCUGAGAUACAUAUACCCAAAAAGUAAUGAUCAAAUAGAUUUCUUUUCCACACAGAAUUGUCCUACAAGGAUUACAGAAGGAUUUUGGCAAAGUAAUAUUUGAAAGAGCAAAGCAUGUUCCACCAAGUAUGGUGACAAAUAUUUCAGAGCUGCCAGUCUGAGGACUCCUACAAACUAACAAUACCUUCAGCACUGACUAGCUUCAAUAAUGGGAUGUCAGUGUUUUGCUAAAAUUAAUGAAACUUCAAUUAUUGUGAUCUUGUUUAAGAAGACAUAUGUAAUUAACAUGCAGUUCUAAUCUCUGUCACUUUUGUAAAUAUUUCCCAAUUAUUUUUUCAGGCUACAAUUUUUGGUAAUAAUGGUAUUCAUUGCAGAAAAAGCUAGUACAUGGCAUUUAAUAAAGAAGGUACUGGUCAUUGUAGAUUUUCUGUCUUCAGCAUUUGUUCUGUUCCACAGCUGUUUCUUGAAAUUUGAAAUGAUGUACCCAUCACUUUGUUAGCGAUCAACAGGGAAAUCUGUCAGUAUGUUUUGUUUAAAAUGGAGCUGAUCAACCCAAUAGUUAGGCUAUUUGCUAAUUAUAAAUUACAAUGAUAAUAGUACACGACCAUAAGAACAGACUGAUGCUGAAUAGCAGCUGUGCCCAGCUACAUCCACGCAGCUUUGCCACACAAUGUGCAUGUGUUCAGAAGAACCAAAUGCCCCAGAGAGAAAGCAACAGUAACUAAUUGUUCGUCAUCUUGUACAAGCAGAUUAUGCUCUAGAUGUAAAUCAUGCUCAGUAAAUACAUAAGUCAGUCAUGUGAGGUGUCUCACUUUUGGUUGCAAGUUGGAACUUAUUACAAUCUUGGUUGUUUUUAUUUUGUUUCCUUUGUGAGCAUGAGUGACUUAGUUGCCUUGGAACAUAUUAUCAAAACUGUUUCUUUAUCACUGGGAAUCACAAAAUUUCAAUUACACAUAAAAUUUCCAGUUACUGAUAUGGUAGACUUCGAAGUUAAUUCUCUUAUCUACCAAGUAGUUUUAUCAUUCAUUGAAACAUAUCCAUGCAAUGCACAAUGGGAACCCAAAUUAUAAAUAUCUGUUCUUGCUUUCUACCCUGCUCUACAACAUUAAGAAGAUACAAAGCAAAACUAUAAGUUUACAAUUGUUCCCCAUAACCUGAGUUUCACUUAGAAUUUGAAAAACAAAAUUGACAUCCUGCUAUAGUGUGAGAGUUGCUUUGGGCACCAAGUGAACUGCGUAGCAACUGUGCUAGAGUACACAACAAAGCAGAAAAUCGCACCAGAUUGCAAUGGCAGUGGUAAGUUAAGAAGUUAAGAACAGAUGUUUUAUUUCACGCACCAUUAAUGUGGCUUAUCAUCUGCUCCUGUUUUGUGGGAACGCAUACAUUGGGAAGACAAUUUUUUGCACCAAUCUUACCUUAGUUGGACACUUGAGAAAGAUAGAAAUCAAGAACAGGUUGCCAAUCAAGAACACUGUGUUGCCCACAGUAUAUUUAUUAUCUGAAUGUGUUUCACUCUACAACAGACUACUGUGGUAGAUAAUCAUAAAGAAAACACUUCUUUCUGCAUAUAUGCGAAAGUGUAGGGAAGCAUUACAUAACUCAGUCAUGCUUUCCAAGUUAAAAAUCGGAAUAAGGACGAUCACAACAACAUUGUAUGAGUGAUUUGUAAAUGUGGCAUCUAAUGGAACUUAUUUACGCAUGUGCUGAGGGUACAUUACAGCCAGUGCAUAAUCUGUCUGCUCUUAGAGGAUAGCUUGUGAUGAGUAAAAGAAGCCUUCCUCACAUUUUCCUCUUUGUUUCUUUUGGACCUCGGUGCACCAUGUGUAUUGUUACAGCUGCAUGCAUGCAGCUGGGUAUAGUUUAUGUGUUCUGCUACCUCCCUUGUCCUCAUUAUUCAUGUGCUAUCUUUGCCGUAACAAAAUACAGCUACCUGUGCUACAUAUUUUGUCAGCGUGUUUGCAUUAUGGCAAGUUUUGUAUUAGUGGUUAUUGCAAUCUGCGAAAUUGUCUGUCAGCUAUUAUACUUCGUCUUGAAAAGUAUGUUUGUCAACAUAAAUAAACAAUUAGUAUAAAUUUUGCUCUAUUUAUUUUUGUAAUAUUAUCUGUUGUGAAGCUUUUAUACACUGUUGCAUGUUGUAUGACAAUAAAAUUGAUGCACAACUUU